GCCUGUAAGACUGGGAUAACUCCGGGAAACCGGGGCUAAUACCGGAUGGUUGUUUGAACCGCAUGGUUCAAACAUAAAAGGUGGCUUCGGCUACCACUUACAGAUGGACCCGCGGCGCAUUAGCUAGUUGGUGAGGUAACGGCUCACCAAGGCAACGAUGCGUAGCCGACCUGAGAGGGUGAUCGGCCACACUGGGACUGAGACACGGCCCAGACUCCUACGGGAGGCAGCAGUAGGGAAUCUUCCGCAAUGGACGAAAGUCUGACGGAGCAACGCCGCGUGAGUGAUGAAGGUUUUCGGAUCGUAAAGCUCUGUUGUUAGGGAAGAACAAGUACCGUUCGAAUAGGGCGGUACCUUGACGGUACCUAACCAGAAAGCCACGGCUAACUACGUGCCAGCAGCCGCGGUAAUACGUAGGUGGCAAGCGUUGUCCGGAAUUAUUGGGCGUAAAGGGCUCGCAGGCGGUUUCUUAAGUCUGAU
Molecule: ribosomal RNA, 480 nt
Filed under: Bacillus subtilis
Lineage: Bacteria; Bacillati; Bacillota; Bacilli; Caryophanales; Bacillaceae
Description: bacterial SSU rRNA
Rfam family: Bacterial small subunit ribosomal RNA
Source: RNAcentral